RNAcentral lists this unclassified non-coding RNA (203 nucleotides) under Hevea brasiliensis (rubber tree). Lineage: Eukaryota; Viridiplantae; Streptophyta; Magnoliopsida; Malpighiales; Euphorbiaceae. The record is from RNAcentral.
AGGCGAGGGCCUUUUUGAAGCAAGAUGCUAUAGCCUAAAUUGCCUAAAUUUUAUAUAUAUACUUUUAAUAUAAAAAUUCAUACCUUUUAACUAGUUUAAGAAGUAAAAAAGCAUAUUAAAAAGCAUAUCACACCUCCAAUUAAUAGAACAUUAACUAUUUAAAAAUAAGUAACCAUUUGUAAAUACAUAACACACCUCAAUCU